Schistocerca americana (American grasshopper) is the source of this 430-nucleotide long non-coding RNA. RefSeq lists it as uncharacterized. NCBI's taxonomy places the organism in Eukaryota, Metazoa, Arthropoda, Insecta, Orthoptera, Acrididae. The transcript is spliced from 3 exons. The record is from RefSeq and is a predicted model, not a curated record.
GUUCAGCUAAGCGCUGUCAAGCUAUACUCGUCAGCUAGCUCGUGAAGAUCAUAAGCUGCCAUCAUGGUGAAGCAAUUCACUGGCAAGACGCACCAGACGGAAAAUUCCGAGUACCUCGACGCCUUUCUCACUGCCUACGCACGGGCACUGGUAACGGCGAUGUCCAGCUCCUCAGGGCAGUACCAGCACAGCGGCAACAACAGCAACACAACAACAACAACAACAAAAAUAAAUUCAGUAAGAGAGAUGGCUGGUGGCCAGAUGGUCAACACUCAGAGGGAUUCCAGUCAAAACACGUGAAAUAACACAAACUAUCGGUGACGUCGCAUAGAAGAUGAAUUACAAGGCUGCUCAAGGAUCAUUGGAUGGAUGUGUGUUUGCUCUAUUUGCUUUACGAUUAUCAUACGGACAGCAUUGUUUCUACUAGGAG